This 467-nucleotide ribosomal RNA is filed under the name uncultured bacterium. Its description in RNAcentral is "partial 16S ribosomal RNA". It matches the Rfam family "Bacterial small subunit ribosomal RNA", at positions 29 to 507 of the family's 1533-position model. The record is from RNAcentral.
ACGAACGCUGGCGGCGUGCUUAACACAUGCAAGUCGAACGGAAAGGCCCUGCUUUUGUGGGGUGCUCGAGUGGCGAACGGGUGAGUAACACGUGAGUAACCUGCCCUUGACUUUGGGAUAACUUCAGGAAACUGGGGCUAAUACCGGAUAGGAGCUCCUGCUGCAUGGUGGGGGUUGGAAAGUUUCGGCGGUUGGGGAUGGACUCGCGGCUUAUCAGCUUGUUGGUGGGGUAGUGGCUUACCAAGGCUUUGACGGGUAGCCGGCCUGAGAGGGUGACCGGCCACAUUGGGACUGAGAUACGGCCCAGACUCCUACGGGAGGCAGCAGUGGGGAAUAUUGCACAAUGGGCGGAAGCCUGAUGCAGCAACGCCGCGUGCGGGAUGACGGCCUUCGGGUUGUAAACCGCUUUCGCCUGUGACCAAGCGUGAGUGACGGUAAUGGGUAAAGAAGCACCGGCUAACUACGUG